CCGAUUCAAACAUCAACUUCACUUAGUCUUAAAGUUACAUGCAAGCUCUAAAUCAACUCAUAAAAAAUACUCACAAAAUGAAAUCUAAAGAAAUAGUGCCAAUUUAUUCACACAAUAACAAACAAGAACAUAUUUAAGGCAUAAGAGUUAGAAAUGUCAAUUCGUUUUUCUUGGCUCGAACGAACAAUGCGACAAUGGACUUCGGUAGAUAACACAACGAUGAACAGAUACAAUAAUUGAAGCUCAAGCAGGAACUACGAAUCUACCAAGAAACGUCGGACUACCACUUUCGACGAACUCGGAACUAGCCAGAAAACUCGAAUUAAACCCAAACAAUGAAAUUAAUGGGUUCUGCGAUGGCUCGAACCCAAAAAAAAGACUUGGAAACAAAAGCUGAGGAAAAAUCCAUCAGCGAAAAUUAGAUUAGAAAGUUGAAUUUUGUGUAUGUUUAUUGAUUGGGGAAGGGCAAAAUAAACUUGAAAGAACUCAAAUGUGCGGCUCACUCUUCCUUAGAGAUUAGGUGGUGGCCGAUUUUUUUUGUUUUCUCUGUUCUUGUGUAUGUGUGAUGGCUGCUCUAAGGUGAAGGGGAGGGGGCUGAUUUUGAUGGGUGCUAGGCGUCUCUUUCCUUCUCGCUGGAUUCCAACGAGUUCUGGUGAUAGCCGGAUUUUCGGCUGCUUGGUGCGACCGCAGUGAUGGCAGGCGGGAAGGCGGCUAGUUGGUCUCUCUUGGUUGAGGAUGAAGGCUAUGGCAUUUUUUGUGGGGUGAAGAAGAAGAAGAUCUACCGUGGUCUGCCGUUGGUUUUAGGGACGGAGAAGAAGGUCUUCAAGCUCGGGUUUUUUAGAAUUCGAAAAGAAAAAUCUGAUAGGGAAGGCGUUUGGACUUUAGAUUUGGGCCUUGAUAUUGGGCUAAAAAUAAAUGUUCAACCCUUAGUUAAAUCUCUUUUAAUAUAAAAUAAAUAUACUAUAUAAU
RNAcentral lists this long non-coding RNA (969 nucleotides) under Nicotiana benthamiana. RNAcentral describes it as "long non-coding RNA (NBEN_LNC013039)". Lineage: Eukaryota; Viridiplantae; Streptophyta; Magnoliopsida; Solanales; Solanaceae. The record is from RNAcentral.